This 349-nucleotide ribosomal RNA is filed under the name Escherichia coli. RNAcentral's name for it is "partial 23S ribosomal RNA". It matches the Rfam family "Bacterial large subunit ribosomal RNA", at positions 2572 to 2916 of the family's 2925-position model. The record is from RNAcentral. Lineage: Bacteria; Pseudomonadati; Pseudomonadota; Gammaproteobacteria; Enterobacterales; Enterobacteriaceae.
AUGGCUGUUCGCCAUUUAAAGUGGUACGCGAGCUGGGUUUAGAACGUCGUGAGACAGUUCGGUCCCUAUCUGCCGUGGGCGCUGGAGAACUGAGGGGGGCUGCUCCUAGUACGAGAGGACCGGAGUGGACGCAUCACUGGUGUUCGGGUUGUCAUGCCAAUGGCACUGCCCGGUAGCUAAAUGCGGAAGAGAUAAGUGCUGAAAGCAUCUAAGCACGAAACUUGCCCCGAGAUGAGUUCUCCCUGACUCCUUGAGAGUCCUGAAGGAACGUUGAAGACGACGACGUUGAUAGGCCGGGUGUGUAAGCGCAGCGAUGCGUUGAGCUAACCGGUACUAAUGAACCGUGAGG